This 420-nucleotide ribosomal RNA is filed under the name uncultured Marmoricola sp. RNAcentral describes it as "bacterial SSU rRNA". It matches the Rfam family "Bacterial small subunit ribosomal RNA", at positions 358 to 790 of the family's 1533-position model. Lineage: Bacteria; Bacillati; Actinomycetota; Actinomycetes; Propionibacteriales; Nocardioidaceae. The record is from RNAcentral.
GGAAUAUUGGACAAUGGGCGAAAGCCUGAUCCAGCAACGCCGCGUGAGGGAUGACGGCCUUCGGGUUGUAAACCUCUUUCAGCAGGGACGAAGCGAAAGUGACGGUACCUGCAGAAGAAGCACCGGCCAACUACGUGCCAGCAGCCGCGGUAAUACGUAGGGUGCGAGCGUUGUCCGGAAUUAUUGGGCGUAAAGGGCUCGUAGGCGGUUUGUCGCGUCGGGAGUGAAAACUCAGGGCUUAACCCUGAGCCUGCUUCCGAUACGGGCAGACUAGAGGUAUGCAGGGGAGAAUGGAAUUCCUGGUGUAGCGGUGAAGUGCGCAGAUAUCAGGAGGAACACCGGUGGCGAAGGCGGUUCUCUGGGCAUUACCUGACGCUGAGGAGCGAAAGUGUGGGGAGCGAACAGGAUUAGAUACCCCGG